CUUGAGUGUAUUUCUCAACCCUUUAUUGCUUCCAUUUUUAUAAUAAUAGCAAUAAUUUUUAUUUCUUAGGAAUUUAGUGAAGUUAAUUUCUGGAUUCCAUUUAUUUCAUUUGGUUAACUUAAUUUACUUUAUUUGUACCACACUCUGGAGUCAGAUACAGACAAGCUUAGAACUGUUACAAAUGGUUUUCUCAGAACACUUUUGGCAUAUUUUCUGCAUUACCUGUUUGGAAACUGUCAUUUCCUGCCGACCAGCUCUUUGACAACUUUGCCCUGGGCUCAGUAAUUGGUGCUAAUGCAGUCUUUGACUUCUCUUUGGUUGAGUGUUUUUCUUAAGAUUCUUCUUCACUUUUAAUUAUGUGACUAUGUGGGGGACUGUACACAUGAGUGCAGAUGCUUGUUGAGGCCAAAAGAAGGCAUCAAAACUUCAGGAGCUGGAGUUACAGGCAUUUGGGAGCCGGCAAGUGUGGUUGCUGAGAACUGACAGAACUGGCAAGCAUGCUUUAAUCUCUCCAGCUCCAGGUUAAUUAAAAAAAAAAUCUUGUAAAUAAGUAAAUUAUGGUGAAAAGAACACAGUCAUAUUAUAAUCACCUACAAGGUAAUGGUUUUAUCUAUGGUGAUUUAAAGAGAAUUACUUUGUAGUCAAUCACUUUUGCUUUCCUUGUUUUUGUUUUGAGAUGGGGGCUCAUGUAUUCCAGGCUGUUCUCAAAAUCACUAUGUAGCCAAGGAUGUCCUUGAACUGAUCAUCCGGCCACCAUCUCCUGAGUGAUGGAAUUACAUGUGAUCUCAUGUAGCCAAGACUGGCAUUGAACUCAGUAUAUAACUGAGGAUAGUCUUGAACUCCCGUCCCUCCUGCUUCUCCUCCUGAGUGCUGGGAUCACAGGCAUGAACCCCCAUGUCUGGUAUAUAGUGCUGGAGAGAAGGAGCCCAGGGCCUCCUGAAGCCUGACCAGCUGAGCUACACGCCCUGUCCCUAAGAUGUGUUAUCAGCUGGCUGAGAAGAAAGCAUGACUUUACCUCUUGACAAAGCUGCCAGCCAAGGGAAAGACAUGGAGACUAAAAGGAAAGCCAGCCCUUCCUGGAAGAAAGAAUCCAUCAAAUUCAAGGAAAUAGAAGAGUUUUGAACUGAAAUAAUGAAAACCAAGUUUGAUUUGAAACAAGUGUUUGAAGUGUAAAAGAACAGAGAUAGAAGACGAAAAAGAACCGCUGUUAUACAUCUAGAAACUAUGUUUGCAUUUAAA
RNAcentral lists this long non-coding RNA (1239 nucleotides) under Cricetulus griseus (Chinese hamster). RNAcentral describes it as "lncRNA (ENSCGRG00015030118.1)". Lineage: Eukaryota; Metazoa; Chordata; Mammalia; Rodentia; Cricetidae. The record is from RNAcentral.